This 255-nucleotide ribosomal RNA is filed under the name uncultured Stenotrophomonas sp. RNAcentral's name for it is "partial 16S ribosomal RNA". It matches the Rfam family "Bacterial small subunit ribosomal RNA", at positions 97 to 356 of the family's 1533-position model. The record is from RNAcentral. Lineage: Bacteria; Pseudomonadati; Pseudomonadota; Gammaproteobacteria; Lysobacterales; Lysobacteraceae.
GGCGGACGGGUGAGGAAUACAUCGGAAUCUACUCUGUCGUGGGGGAGUAACGUAGGGAAACUUACGCUAAUACCGCAUACGACCUACGGUGAAAGCAGGGAUCUUCGGACCUUGCGCGAUUGAAUGAGCCGAUGUCGGAUUAGCUAGUUGGCGGGGUAAAGGCCCACCAAGGCGACGAUCCGUAGCUGGUCUGAGAGGAUGAUCAGCCACACUGGAACUGAGACACGGUCCAGACUCCUACGGGAGGCAGCAAUG